Molecule: ribosomal RNA, 301 nt
Filed under: uncultured bacterium
Lineage: Bacteria
Description: partial 16S ribosomal RNA
Rfam family: Bacterial small subunit ribosomal RNA
Source: RNAcentral
CAGCAGCCACGGGAAUACGAAGGGUGCAAGCGUUAAUCGGAUUUACUGGGCGUAAAGCGUGCGUAGGCGGCUAAUUGAGUCGGAUGUGAAAUCCCCGAGCUUAACUUGGGAAUUGCAUUCGAUACUGGUUAGCUAGAGUGUGGGAGAGGAUGGUAGAAUUCCAGGUGUAGCGGUGAAAUGCGUAGAGAUCUGGAGGAAUACCGAUGGCGAAGGCAGCCAUCUGGCCUAACACUGACGCUGAGGUACGAAAGCAUGGGGAGCAAACAGGAUUAGAUACCCCAGUAGUCCCUGUCUCUUAUAA